GAUGAACGCUAGCGGCAGGCUUAACACAUGCAAGUCGAGGGGUAUAGUUCUUCGGAACUAGAGACCGGCGCACGGGUGCGUAACGCGUAUGCAAUCUACCUUUUGCAGAGGGAUAGCCCCAGAGAAAUUUGGAUUAAUACCUCAUAGUAUAGCAGUUUCGCAUGAAACCACUAUUAAAGUCACAACGGUGAAAGAUGAGCAUGCGUCCCAUUAGCUAGUUGGUAAGGUAACGGCUUACCAAGGCACGAUGGGUAGGGUACCGUGAGAGGAGAUCCCCACACUGGUACUGA
This 290-nucleotide ribosomal RNA is filed under the name uncultured bacterium. Its description in RNAcentral is "partial 16S ribosomal RNA". It matches the Rfam family "Bacterial small subunit ribosomal RNA", at positions 28 to 322 of the family's 1533-position model. The record is from RNAcentral.